AAAUAGUUAAAGAGGACGUGAUUGAGAAAAAAUAAAGUGGAAUUAAAAAAGAGGAGAUUGGAAAUAACGAUAACAAAGAGGAAAAAGGAUUCACCCUUGAUCAACUUAUAAAUAAAAACUCUCAUCGGAGGAGAAUAAAGAAGCAGAUCCUGAAUGAUCCAAAUCCCAAGUUUUCAUAUUAUAUCAAACCACCAUAUCCCAUAAUUAAAAAGAAACCGGUCCAGGACGAUGAGGCAUGAAUGUUUGCAAAGUU
Molecule: long non-coding RNA, 253 nt
Filed under: Lathyrus oleraceus (garden pea)
Lineage: Eukaryota; Viridiplantae; Streptophyta; Magnoliopsida; Fabales; Fabaceae
Description: Pisum sativum (pea) long non-coding RNA (PSAT_LNC026920)
Source: RNAcentral